This is a long non-coding RNA of Cyprinodon variegatus (sheepshead minnow), 204 nucleotides long. RefSeq lists it as uncharacterized. The record is from RefSeq and is a predicted model, not a curated record. NCBI's taxonomy places the organism in Eukaryota, Metazoa, Chordata, Actinopteri, Cyprinodontiformes, Cyprinodontidae. The transcript is spliced from 3 exons.
GCUGUUUCUGUUAUCAUACAUAUAAUUUUGAUCUUUUGUCGAACUAAAGCCUUUCCAUGUCAAAUAGUUAAAGAAAGACCCUCUGUAGCAAAACGCAACAACUUGAACCACCAAAGAGAUGAAAUUCGUGAUGAUGGACAGGAUCUGGUCUACUCUGCAUUACAUUUUUCUGGAGGGAAGAAACCAAGAGGAACAAAGAAGAUG